UACGUAGGGGGCAAGCGUUAUCCGGAUUUACUGGGUGUAAAGGGAGCGUAGGUGGCAGGGCAAGUCAGAUGUGAAAACCCGGGGCUCAACCCCGGGAUUGCAUUUGAAACUGUCCGGCUGGAGUGCAGGAGAGGUAAGUGGAAUUCCUAGUGUAGCGGUGAAAUGCAUAGAUAUUAGGAGGAACACCAGUGGCGAAGGCGGCUUACUGGACUGUAACUGACACUGAGGCUCGAAAGCGUG
Molecule: ribosomal RNA, 240 nt
Filed under: uncultured bacterium
Lineage: Bacteria
Description: partial 16S ribosomal RNA
Rfam family: Bacterial small subunit ribosomal RNA
Source: RNAcentral